Molecule: non-coding RNA, 151 nt
Organism: Vicugna pacos (alpaca)
Lineage: Eukaryota; Metazoa; Chordata; Mammalia; Artiodactyla; Camelidae
Source: RefSeq, a predicted model, not a curated record
UCUGCAACUAACACAGGCAUCAGGCACCCUCAAAUCAAGCAGUUGGUCAACAAUAUAGGGUGUGGUUUGUCAGGGGAAACAGAGCUACCUGUGGUUUUAACCUCUUCUAUUACAAGAAGGAACAAUAAAACAGAAACAUUUGUAUGGAAAA